RNAcentral lists this ribosomal RNA (5478 nucleotides) under Triticum aestivum (bread wheat). Its description in RNAcentral is "partial small subunit ribosomal RNA". Lineage: Eukaryota; Viridiplantae; Streptophyta; Magnoliopsida; Poales; Poaceae. The record is from RNAcentral.
AUGCUGCCGCCGGAGAGGGAGAUGGCGCUAGCAAUCGGGUCGCGGCAGCUCACGGUGCUGCGGGAGUUCCGCCCGCACGGGCUCGCCGCCGAGGAGGCCGACGGCGGGGGCCCCGAGGCGCGGCCGCUGCAGGACUACGACUACUUCCUCUUCGACCCCUCUGUCGCCGCCUCCCCCGCCCCUGACCCCGAGGACGAGGCCGCCUCCUCCUCCGUCGCCGACGGCGACCACGAGCUCUUCAUACGCGGCAACCGGAUUAUAUGGAGUACUGGUUCUCGAGUUCACAAAAGAUACGCUUCUCCAAAUACAGUCAUAAUGGCCUGCUGGUGUCGUAUGGAGGCACUCAGUGAUGCCCUUCUGUGCGUUCUUCAAGUUGAUACUUUAUCUAUAUAUGAUGUAACUGGCGAGGUUGUUAGUAUUCCACUGCCAUAUGCUGUUUCAUCAAUAUGGUCUCUUCCAUUCGGUAUUCUACUUCAGAAAUCUUCUGAUGGAGGCCGCAUGGUAUCAUCCUCUAGUUCACUGCUAAAUGCACGGGAUUUAACUCGUCCUAACAAGGAAUUUGGGUUGAACUACAAUGUUGCAUGCCAAGCCCAAACGCCGGAGUCGGCCAAUAAAUCUGAUGGGACCAUUAUUUCUUCUCAUCUCAUUUUGAAACAUCCACUUGAAGUGCCUCAGGCCACAUAUUUUGAAGAAAGGAGCAGAUUAAGUAUGAUGAAAGAUUUUGAUGAAAAGACUAUAUGGACUAGUGAUAGAAUACCUCUAAUGGCAUCAUAUCAUAAAGGAAAAUUUCGGCAUUCUGUUUGGCAAGUUGAUGGUGCAACUUACCAGGAAGCAAUGGAUGAUAAUGCGAUGUUAUCAAUUCCCCGUGAUAUUUCCCAGGAUAAGUUUGCAUUUCGUAAGAUAUGGCAGGGAAAAUGCUCCCAGUCUGCUGCUAGUAAGGUGUUCUUGGCAACUGAUAUUGAUGGGAUGCCAAUAAUUUGUUUUUUACUUCAUGAACAAAAAACAUUACUUGCUGUAAGGAUUCAAGCAGAUGAGUCUAAUAAAGAAGCAUUUGGCGAUAUUAUGAGUUGGAACAUUCCUGCAUUUGCUGCUGCACCAGUUGUCGUAACUCGCCCAAGGGCACGGGUUGGACUCCUUCCCUUUACAGACAUCCUAAUUCUGACUCCUGAGAAUGAUCUACUUCUUUAUUCUGGAAAGCAGUGCCUCUGCAGCUACAGUCUUCCUACUGAAUUUGGAAAGGGUGUCUUCUCAAAUUAUGAGCUAAAUUCCGAGGUUAAAAAAUUGUACUCUAGUGUGAAGAUCACAAGCAUAGCAGAUGCUGUUGAAGGUCGUGUAAAUGUAACAUGCAGCAAUGGCCUGAUGCUCAGAUGUUCAUUACGCAAAUAUCCUUCAUCUUCUUUGGUUAGUGACUGCAUAACUGCUAUGGCAGAGGGCCUGCAGAUGUGCUUUUACAGUCAUUUUGUUUCUCUUCUCUGGGGUGAUAAUGAUCCUGCUUGCCUGUGUUCGAGCUCUCAUGUGGAUUCAGAGUGGGAAUCUUUUAGCUAUGAAAUAUCAAAAGCUUGCGCAAAAUACGAACGAACUUUGCCAACUAAAUCAUCGACAUCGUCUAGUACUGCUUGGGACUUUUUGAUCGACAGCAAAUACCAUGCUCAGUACUGCAAAAGAUCUCCAAUCUCGGGCACAUCAUUUUUGCCCAUGUCAUAUGGUACUAGCAGCAUAGGCUUUCAUUCCUUCCUCCAAGAUGAACAUAGUUCAGAUGCGGCAUUCUAUAUUGGGCUUAUGAGAGAAACUUUAGACACAUUGCAUGCCCUAUAUGAGAACCUGAAGCUGAAUGUAUUGCGGAAACAGGAUCUAGGAUGUCUUGCCUCUUUGUUAUGUAGGGUUGCUUCAUCCCUGGGCGAAAGCAGCUAUGUAGAUUAUUAUUGCAGGGACUUUCCCCACAAUUUGGUGGACUUCCAUUCCCUAGCUUCUGCUACUGCUUUGAAAACUCCACCUUGUCUGUUUCGUUGGUUUGAAAACUGUCUGCAUCAUGGUUGUCAUUUGUCGAAUUUGGAUGACAUUCCUGCUCUAAUGUGCAAACAGAAAGUCUCUGCUGUGAGCUGGGGUAGGAAAGUGGUGUCGUUUUAUAGUUUGUUACUGGGAGCAGAAAGGCAAGGGAGUAAUCUCUCAUCUGGUGUAUACUGUGAAGUUGCCAAUGGUUCAGCGAGAAAUACCGAGGAACUUGCUGUUCUGGCUAUGGUUGCUGAAAAGUUUGGGCGUCAGCAAUUGGACUUGCUACCGAUUGGCGUAUCUCUUGUUCUCCGCCAUGCACUGGACAAAUGCCGUGAGUCUCCUCCAGAUGACUGGCCUGCACCUGCUUAUGUUCUUGUGGGCAGGGAAGAUCUAGCUACAGCAAAGAUGGGUUCAGCAAGGAAAGAAACUGGGUUUGGGAACAACGAUAAUUUGACAUCAAUUUCAGUCCCAUAUAUGCUGCAUUUACAACCUGUAACUGUACCAACUUCAUCUGACGUCCCUACAUCAGAGGUUUUGAAUUCUGAGGAUACUGAUGCUGUCUAUAGAUCUGUUGAGGAUGGCAUGGAACACAUCUUCACCUCGACAACACAACUACGAUAUGGCCGUGAUCUGCGUUUAAAUGAGGUUAGAUGUCUCUUAUGCUCAGCAAGACCUGUGGCCAUACAAACAUCCACUAACCCUACUGCCUCCGAUCAGGACCUACAACAGCAACAACUAUGGAAUUUUGCACAAAGGACAACAGCUUUACCAUUUGGACGUGGUGCUUUUACUUUGGCUACAACUUACACUUUGUUGACAGAGGCUCUAGUUUUUCCAAAGAUUAUUUUGGCUGGUCGGUUGCCUGCACAGCAGAACGCAACAGUUAAUCUUGACCUAAGCACCAGAAGUGUCUCAGAAUUCAAUUCUUGGGCUGAGUUUCAUAAUGGUGUAGCUGCUGGCCUGAGGCUUGCUCCUUUUCAGGAGAAAAUGCUGAGAACCUGGAUACAAUACAAUAGACCUUCUGAACCAAAUUUUACUCAUGCUGGUCUGCUUCUAGCAUUCGGUCUGCAUGAGCAUCUACGAGUUUUAACAAUGACUGAUGCUUAUCGAUAUCUCUCCCAGGAGCAUGAUAUAACUACACUUGGUUUGUUACUUGGUUUGGCAACAUCUCAUAGGGGAACAAUGCACCCUGCAAUUUCGAAGAUGCUCUACUUCCAUGUUCCCUCUCGCCAUCCAUCUUCCACACCAGAGUUGGAACUACCAACACUUCUGCAGUCAGCAGCAGUAAUGGGAAUUGGACUUCUAUAUGAAGGUUCAGCACAUGCAUUAACCAUGAAGAUACUUCUGGGUGAGAUUGGCCGAAGGAGUGGUGGUGAUAAUGUGCUAGAAAGGGAAGGGUAUGCUGUUGCUGCAGGCUCUGCAUUAGGAUUUGUUGCCUUAGGUCGUGGAAGUGAUGCAUUUGGAUUCAUGGACACUUUUCUGGAUCGACUUUUUGAAUACAUUGGCAGUAAAGAAGUCUACCAUGAAAGAUUCCUAAAUGCAACAAUAGCCGCAGAUGAUCAAAGCGGAAACACUGGACAGAUGAUGGAUGGAUCACAGAUAAAUGUUGAUGUUACUGCACCUGGAGCAAUAAUUGCUCUAGCCCUAAUAUUUCUGAAGGCAGAGUCAGAAGAAAUUGCUGCUAGACUCAGUAUUCCCGAUACUUACUUCGAUUUGCAAUACGUGAGACCUGAUUUUGUUAUGCUUCGCAUUAUAGCCCGGAAUUUAAUAUUGUGGAGCAGAAUACAACCUUCUAUAGAUUGGAUUGGAUCUCAAAUUCCUGAAACUAUUAAAGGUGGUGUUUUCAGUAUGAGUGAAGAGGCUAUUGAUUGUGAUGAAUUUGAUGCUGAAGCCCUUUUUCAAGCUUACGUUAAUAUUGUGACAGGAGCAUGCAUUGCAAUUGGUCUGAAGUAUGCAGGCAGCAGAAACGGUGAUGCCCAAGAACUACUCUACUCAUACACUGUUAAUUUUCUCAAUGAGAUUAAACACGUAUCUGUUCGAACUCCAAGUAUAUUGCCAAAGGGAUUGCUGCAAUAUGUCGAUCGUGGAACUCUUGAGCUCUGCUUGCAUCUUAUUGCUCUCUCUCUAUCUGUGGUAAUGGCAGGGUCUGGACAUUUACAAACUUUUCGCUUGCUGCGCUAUCUUAGGGGAAGAAGUUCUGCAGAAGGACAAGUGAAUUAUGGACUGCAGAUGUCCGUAAGCUUGGCUAUAGGGUUCUUAUUCCUUGGGGGUGGCACACAUUCAUUUUCAACUUCAAACAGUGCAAUUGCUGCGCUAUUGAUCACACUUUACCCACGUUUGCCUACUGGACCAAAUGACAAUCGCUGCCAUCUCCAGGCCUUCAGACACCUGUAUGUUAUAGCUACAGAGCCUCGACGGGUUCAAACAGUAGAUGUUGAUACAGGACUUCCGGUGUAUUGCCCACUUGAAGUGACAGUUGCUGAAACAGAGUAUUAUGAUGAGACUAAUUACUGUGAGGUGACACCGUGUCUUCUGCCAGAACGCUCAGUGCUGAAGAACGUCCGAGUUUGUGGGCCUCGAUAUUGGCCUCAGCUGAUAAAAAUUACACCGGAAGACAAGCCAUGGUGGAGAUCUGGAGACAAGACUGAUCCUGAUCCAUUCAAUGGUGGAGUUCUAUAUAUAAAGCGAAAAGUUGGAUCGUGCUCCUACUCAGAUGAUCCAAUUGGAUGCCAAUCUUUGCUUUCACGGGCCAUGCAUGAGGUUUGUGACACUCCAUCUACAAGCUGCAGUACUCAACUAAACCGUGCAAGUCAUAGUUCAUUUAGAGUUGAUCAGCUAGUAAGCACAUUCUCUGCCAAUCCAAGCUUGAUAGCUUUUGCAAAACUCUGUUGCGAAUCAUGGAAGGACAGAUCUAAUGGCAAUUUUCAAGAUUUUUGCUCUCAAGUGCUGUAUGAAUGUAUGAGCAAAGAUAGGCCGUCACUUUUACAGGUCUAUAUCAGUUUUUACACAAUAGUUGAGUCGAUGUGGGAGCAUCUCAAGAUCGGGCAGUUUCCUUUCUACGACUCUCUUUUCCCUUCCAGCUUGAAGGUUGCCUUGGCCUACAGUGGAGCAUUAGUUGAUGGCAGAAUUUCAAGUGGAGGCAUAAUACAGGCCACGUUCUUGGAAUCCCUCGUAAAGCGUGUGGAUAACAUCUUUUCGGAAUUGCCGAACCUCAAGGCCAACUUUGUCCGUUACUUGGGCACAGGCAAAUGGCCGGAUGCUCAGAGGGACGCUGUGCUCCUCUCUUGGUAUCUCCAGUGGUACAGCAUCCCACCUCCCCAUGUUGUGGCAUCUGCAGUUGAAAAGAUAAAGCCCAGUGCUCCCACAGGCGUCUCCAUGCUCCCACUGCUUCGUCUCCUGCUGCCAACCACACAUCUUGUGGGGUUGAUUGAGAUUGAGAAGCUUCAGAUGAUGCCCAUGAGGAAUACAAAGAAGCAUGUCUUAUAA